Molecule: long non-coding RNA, 801 nt
Filed under: Lonchura striata (white-rumped munia)
Lineage: Eukaryota; Metazoa; Chordata; Aves; Passeriformes; Estrildidae
Description: domestica (Bengalese finch) lncRNA (ENSLSDG00000010589.1)
Source: RNAcentral
CCCUCUUAUUCGAUAAGCAUGGCUGUUUCCCAUGGAGCAGGGUGGUGGGCAGCUCUGUGCAGAAGGGUUUGGAUUAUCCUUUAUUCCCACCUUGUGAGUUUUUGUUGUUGUUGUUUUGGUCUGUUGUUUUUGUUUUUUUUUUUCCUUAGGAGAAACUUUUGAAGGAGAGUAUUUGGUUUUGCAGUAUCAGAUCUGCAAAACCAGUGCUACCUUCUGCUGGUGAUCAGGCCCUUCAAGUGCACUUCUGUACAGCAGGCCACACUUUCUACCUUACAAGAACUGCAAGAAGUGUUCUGAGCAAAAAAAAAGCCCAAAAAACCCCCAUGUAUUAUUGUCCCUGAAGUGCCUGGUGAACAUCACCUUUCAGCUGGGCUUGGUGUUCAAACACAAGGGGCCUGCCCAAGAGUGGGUGACUGGUAAAGGCAAGACAAAACAAAGGAAGCAGAUCAUCCUUCCAUGUGUGCAGUGGAUUUUUGGUGAACUUCCAAGGAACAGUGCAGAAGAUGAUCAGAAUCCAAAAUCCCUGGAGACAAGUGGAGUGGGAAAUAGAAUGACAAGUGAGUCAAUGGCUUCCCUGUUGCCAGUAGCCCUUUACUGCAGGGGUGCACUCGUGUUUCUGGCUUUUCUGUCUUUCUCUGUUCCCUACCUGAAAUUCCUCUGUAAGCCUUGUCUGGAUGUGGUGUUCACAUGGAACUGUUUCAGAGAGAAGCAUUCCCUCACUGUCAUCUCCCUGGUAGCCAUCACAGUAUGUAAUGCCUUUCAUGCAAAUUCCAGCUUUUGUGUAAGAUGCAGUGAUUUGGU